UUGGAGGGCAAGUCUGGUGCCAGCAGCCGCGGUAAUUCCAGCUCCAAUAGCGUAUAUUAAAGUUGUUGCAGUUAAAAAGCUCGUAGUUGAAUUUCGGGAUCAAAUAAUCGGUCGUGCCUCCGGUACGUACUGGUUUUAUUGGUUCCUCCCUUCUGACGAACCAUGAUGUCAUUAAUUUGAUGUGGUGGAGAAUCAGGACUGUUACCUUGAAAAAAUUAGAGUGUUUAAAGCAGGCAUUAGCUUGAAUACAUUAGCAUGGAAUAAUGAAAUAGGACGUUCGAUCCUAUUUUGUUGGUUUCUAGGAUCAACGUAAUGAUUAAUAGGGAUAGUUGGGGGCAUUAGUAUUCAAUUGUCAGAGGUGAAAUUCUUGGAUUUAUUGAAGACUAACUACUGCGAAAGCAUUUGCCAAGGAUGUUUUCAUUAAUCAAGAACGAAAGUUAGGGGAUCGAAGACGAUCAGAUACCGUCGUAGUCUUAACCAUAAACUAUGCCGACUAGGGAUCGGAUGAUGUUAAUUUUUUAAUGACUCAUUCGGCGCCUUACGGGAAAC
RNAcentral lists this ribosomal RNA (549 nucleotides) under uncultured Glomus. RNAcentral describes it as "SSU rRNA". It matches the Rfam family "Eukaryotic small subunit ribosomal RNA", at positions 548 to 1098 of the family's 1831-position model. Lineage: Eukaryota; Fungi; Glomeromycota; Glomeromycetes; Glomerales; Glomeraceae. The record is from RNAcentral.